This 100-nucleotide Y RNA is filed under the name Macaca nemestrina (pig-tailed macaque). Its description in RNAcentral is "Y RNA (ENSMNEG00000017354.1)". It matches the Rfam family "Y RNA". From Rfam's summary of the family: Y RNAs are components of the Ro ribonucleoprotein particle (Ro RNP), in association with Ro60 and La proteins. Lineage: Eukaryota; Metazoa; Chordata; Mammalia; Primates; Cercopithecidae. The record is from Rfam by way of RNAcentral.
GGCUAGUCCGAGUGCACUGGUGUUUACAGCUAAUUGACCACAACCAGUUAUAGAUUUAUGUUUCUUCUCCACUCCCACUGCUUCACCUGACUAGCCUUAA